This 558-nucleotide ribosomal RNA is filed under the name uncultured bacterium. Its description in RNAcentral is "bacterial SSU rRNA". It matches the Rfam family "Bacterial small subunit ribosomal RNA", at positions 338 to 917 of the family's 1533-position model. The record is from RNAcentral.
CCUACGGGAGGCAGCAGUGGGGAAUAUUGCACAAUGGGCGAAAGCCUGAUGCAGCGACGCCGCGUGAACGAUGAAGGCUUUCGAGUCGUAAAGUUCUGUUCUUGGGGAAGAUAACGACGGUACCCAAGGAGAAAGCACCGGCUAAAUACGUGCCAGCAGCCGCGGUAAUACGUAUGGUGCAAGCGUUGUCCGGAAUUACUGGGCGUAAAGAGUUCGUAGGCGGUUGGAUUAGUCAGAAGUGAAAGGCUACGGCUCAACCGUAGUAAGCUUUUGAAACUGUCUAACUUGAGUACUGGAGAGGAAAGCGGAAUUCCUAGUGUAGCGGUGAAAUGCGUAGAUAUUAGGAAGAACACCAGUGGCGAAGGCGGCUUUCUGGACAGUAACUGACGCUGAGGAACGAAAGCGUGGGGAGCGAACAGGAUUAGAUACCCUGGUAGUCCACGCCGUAAACGAUGAGAACUAGGUGUUGGGGGUCGAACCUCAGUGCCGCAGCUAACGCAGUAAGUUCUCCGCCUGGGGAGUACGAUCGCAAGAUUGAAACUCAAAUGAAUUGACGGA